This 253-nucleotide ribosomal RNA is filed under the name uncultured bacterium. RNAcentral's name for it is "partial 16S ribosomal RNA". It matches the Rfam family "Bacterial small subunit ribosomal RNA", at positions 524 to 776 of the family's 1533-position model. The record is from RNAcentral.
CACGUAGGAGGCGAGCGUUGUCCGGAAUCAUUGGGCGUAAAGAGCGCGCAGGCGGCCCGGCAAGUCGGGUGUGAAAUCCCGGGGCUCAACCCCGGGACUGCAUUCGAUACUGUCGGGCUAGAGGUAGGUAGGGGAGAUCGGAAUUCCUGGUGUAGCGGUGAAAUGCGCAGAUAUCAGGAGGAACACCGGUGGCGAAGGCGGGUCUCUGGGCCAGCACUGACGCUCAUGCACGAAAGCGUGGGGAGCAAACAGG